UACGUAGGUGGCAAGCGUUAUCCGGAUUUAUUGGGCGUAAGGGGAACGCAGGCGGUCCUUUAAGUCUGAUGUGAAAGCCUUCGGCUUAACCGGAGUAGUGCAUUGGAAACUGGGAGACUUGAGUGCAGAAGAGGAGAGUGGAACUCCAUGUGUAGCGGUGAAAUGCGUAGAUAUAUGGAAGAACACCAGUGGCGAAAGCGGCUCUCUGGUCUGUAACUGACGCUGAGGUUCGAAAGCGUGGGUAGCAAACAGG
Molecule: ribosomal RNA, 253 nt
Filed under: uncultured bacterium
Lineage: Bacteria
Description: partial 16S ribosomal RNA
Rfam family: Bacterial small subunit ribosomal RNA
Source: RNAcentral